This is a long non-coding RNA of Gossypium arboreum, 505 nucleotides long. RefSeq lists it as uncharacterized. Lineage: Eukaryota; Viridiplantae; Streptophyta; Magnoliopsida; Malvales; Malvaceae. The transcript is spliced from 3 exons. The record is from RefSeq and is a predicted model, not a curated record.
GGCCGGCCAUGUGAUGAUGUUCCUCCACGAAGUCUAAUUAAAUAUAUAUUAUAAUGGUAAAUGACAAAAUAAUCUAAAUAGAAAAAUAGAUUAAUAAGAAAAAGAUGAAUAAAAGAGAAAUGGAAGGAGAGAGAAGUGUUCGUCUUCUUCUUGCAAAGCCGAACCUAAGUGAAGAAAGAAAGAAAAAUUGUUAAAAGCAUUCGGUCAAUUUAAGGGUUAAUCAAGCUCAAGAACUUAAAGGAGGGGAAUCAAGCAAGGGCAAAGCGAGGAGCAUCGAGUAGCCGAUUUGGAACCGUUUUAUCCAACACAAGAUUUCCUUGACCCAUUUUGCGUGCUUGGAAUCAUCGUCGAAGUCAUCACACCAGCUUGCAACAUUUUGGUACCCUCUUCUUAGUUGAUCUAAAUGAACAUUUUGACAUGUAUAGGCUAAUAUGUAUUUUGUUUGAACUUUGAUAUGUAUACUUCCAGCCAUGUGAAUAUGGCUUAAAUACUAAGUUUGAAUUUG